GAGGGUAAAGCUCAGUGGUAGAGUGAACACUUAGCAUGCAUGAAGUCCUGGGUUCAAUCCCCAGUACCUCCA
Molecule: transfer RNA, 72 nt
Filed under: Camelus bactrianus (Bactrian camel)
Lineage: Eukaryota; Metazoa; Chordata; Mammalia; Artiodactyla; Camelidae
Also listed under: 2 other names
Rfam family: tRNA
About the family: Transfer RNA (tRNA) molecules are approximately 80 nucleotides in length.
Source: Rfam by way of RNAcentral